Molecule: long non-coding RNA, 437 nt
Filed under: Daucus carota (carrot)
Lineage: Eukaryota; Viridiplantae; Streptophyta; Magnoliopsida; Apiales; Apiaceae
Description: long non-coding RNA (DCAR_LNC003437)
Source: RNAcentral
UAAGAACAUAAAUCUAAUUUGAUCGUAGUAAAAGACAUGAAGAGAGGAUAACAUCAUCUAUAUUGGUGCAACAUCAUUUUGGAAAAAUCCUCAAAACAAACAAAGCCGUCCAUAUUUUUAUCAACGCCCUUGAUCAUCCUACGGCAGUCUUCUAACGAACACACCCCAUCUCCGAUAGACGUGAACACACACAAUAACUCCUCCGCUGAGAUCUUCCCAUCGUGAUCCGUGUCGAAAAAAUCGAACGCCUCUCGUAACUCCACGUCACCAGAUGGAGGCCCGAAAGCGGAGCUGAUCGCACCGAAUUCCUCCAAACUAAUACACCCAUCACCGUCACUAUCAAGCUCUCUAAGCAUCAUGGUGAGCUCCUCUUCGGAGAGCGGGUCCGACCCGACCCGACCCAGAAGCGACCCGAGUUCGGCCCGGGUAAUUUUCCC